Molecule: long non-coding RNA, 2687 nt
Organism: Oncorhynchus tshawytscha (Chinook salmon)
Lineage: Eukaryota; Metazoa; Chordata; Actinopteri; Salmoniformes; Salmonidae
Source: Ensembl
GGCACGGUCAGUCAGUCAGUCAGACAUGUUAGGCAAUGGGACGGUCAGUCAGUCAGUCAGUCAGACAUGUUAGGCAAUGGGACGGUCAGUCAGUCAGUCAGACAUGUUAGGCAAUGGGACGGUCAGUCAGUCAGUCAGACAUGUUAGGCAAUGGGACGGUCAGUCAGUCAGACACGUUAGGCAAUGGGACGGUCAGUCAGUCAGAUACGUUAGGCAAUGGGACAGUCAGUCAGUCAGACACAUUAGGCAAUGGGACGGUCAGUCAGUUAUACAUGUUAGGCAAUGGGACGGUCAGUCUGUCAGUCAGACAUGUUUGGCAAUGGGACGGUCAGUCAGUCAGUCAGUUAGACACGUUAGGCAAUGGGAUGUUCAGUCAGUCAGUCAGACACGUUAGGCAAUAGGACGGUCAGUCAGUCAGACAUGUUAGGCAAUGGGACGGUCAGUCAGUUAGACACGUUAGGCAAUGGGAUGGUCAGUCAGUCAGUCAGUCAGACACGUUAGGCAAUGGGAUGGUCAGUCAGUCAGUCAGACACGUUAGGCAAUGGGACGGUCAGUCAGUCAGUCAGUCAGACAUGUUAGGCAAUGGGACAGUCAGUCAGUCAGACACGUUAGGCAAUGGGACAGUCAGUCAGUCAGACACGUUAGGCAAUGGGACAGUCAGUCAGUUAGUCAGUCAGACACAUUAGGCAAUGGGACAGUCAGUCAGUCAGACAUGUUAGGCAAUGGGACAGUGAGUCAGUCAGACACGUUAGGCAAUGGGACAGUCAGUCAGUCAGACACGUUAGGCAAUGGGACAGUCAGUCCGUCAGACACGUUAGGCAAUGGGACAGUCAGUCAGUUAGUCAGUCAGACACGUUAGGCAAUGGGACAGUCAGUCAGUCAGUCAGAUACGUUAGGCAAUGGGACGGUCAGUCAGUCAGACACAUUAGGCAAUGGGACGGUCAGUCAGUCAGUCAGACACAUUAGGCAAUGGGACAGUCACUCAGUCAGUCAGACACGUUAGGCAAUGGGAUGGUCAGUCAGUUAGUCAGUCAGACACGUUAGGCAAUGGGACGGUCAGUCAGUCAGUCAGACACGUUAGGCAAUGGGACAGUCAGUCAGUCAGACACGUUAGGCAAUGGGACGGUCAGUCAGUCAGUCAGUCAGACAUGUUAGGCAAUGGGACAGUCAGUCAGUCAGACACGUUAGGCAAUGGGACAGUCAGUCCGUCAGACACGUUAGGCAAUGGGACAGUCAGUCAGUUAGUCAGUCAGACACGUUAGGCAAUGGGACAGUCAGUCAGUCAGUCAGAUACGUUAGGCAAUGGGACGGUCAGUCAGUCAGACACAUUAGGCAAUGGGACGGUCAGUCAGUCAGUCAGACACAUUAGGCAAUGGGACAGUCACUCAGUCAGUCAGACACGUUAGGCAAUGGGAUGGUCAGUCAGUUAGUCAGUCAGACACGUUAGGCAAUGGGACAGUCAGUCCGUCAGACACGUUAGGCAAUGGGACAGUCAGUCAGUUAGUCAGUCAGACACGUUAGGCAAUGGACAGUCAGUCAGUCAGACAGACACGUUAGGCAAUGGGACGGUCAGUCAGUUAGACACGUUAGGCAAUGGGUCAGUCAGUCAGUCGACAUGUUAUUAUUAGGGUCUACAGUUUACCUCCGCCCCCUUGGUCUAUCCCUCUGACCUGAGGUACGUAGAGGAGUCUACAGUCCAUUACUAAUCAAACAUCGUCUCUCUGUCUGUCUCUCCUUAGGCAUGUGACAUAGAGCCCAAUCAGAGUGACAGAGACCCUUUUUGGAGUGUUGCCAUCGAGAGGAGGGGACUCCCUGUCCAGACACCCAGGCGCCCCCCCAACAAACACACACACACACACACACACACACACACACACACACACACACACACACACACACACACACACACACAAACUCCAGGAGUGCUGUGAACAGGGACAGUCAAAGUGGCUGUCAGAAGUACUGAACAACUUCAUCUCAAGGCUGCGUCCCAAUAGUAUAAGACAUUGUCAUCUCCUCAUCUCCUUUCCUCUUCCUCAUCUCCUUUCCUUCAUGAGCUGAUCUGUUUGUACUGGAUAUGUUAAAUAGGUUCGUUUACACAAUUAGAAUGGGCAAAUGUGAAAUAGCACCUCAUGUCCUAUUGCACUAUAUAACAUUGGGUAUUAUUUCUGACACAGCCCUAGUUUAUAAACUUUUACAAGUCAUGGAGGAGACUAGGGGAGGAUAUUAGGAAGGAGAUUAAGGAAAUUAAGCUUUGUAAAAGUAUUGGGACACUGUCAGACAGACAAACACCAUCUCACAUACUAUGCGUCCUUUAUACAAAACUUGAGCUGGAAGAGUAUUUAAGAAAUGGCUUUUUAUAAUAGAAGUAUAUUUGUAAUUUUAUAGAGCUGGUCAUUGUACAUUUAUCAAUAAUACUUGUUUGUGAUAUAUAUUUGUAUCUACAUGUAAAUAAUAAUUGUUUCAGAUUCUAUUGCAUUGGCAUUAAAACGCUUAUAUGAUGGGUUUUAGGUUGGUCACUCAUUGACUGGAGUUAAGAUGUGUUGAUGCUUUUAAAGAAUGUGAAAGAAAAAGUGGAUUAACUCUGAAAACUGGAAUCCAACAAAAUGUAUUUAAUACAGCUAAUGUCUAUUGUCUAUAAGAGAUCAUAUUAAAGUUAAAUAUUAUUCUUUUAAAACAUGUCUCUU